GACGAACGCUGACGGCGUGCUUAACACAUGCAAGUCGAGCGAUGAAGCUCCUUCGGGAGUGGAUUAGCGGCGGACGGGUGAGUAACACGUGGGCAACCUGCCUUAUAGAGAGGAAUAGCCAUCCGAAAGGAUGAUUAAUACCUCAUAAUAUUGUAGUUUCGCAUGAAGCAACAAUCAAAGGAGCAAUCCACUAUAGAUGGGCCCGCGGCGCAUUAGCUAGUUGGUGAGGUAACGGCUCACCAAGGCGACGAUGCGUAGCCGACCUGAGAGGGUGAUCGGCCACAUUGGGACUGAGACACGGCCCAGACUCCUACGGGAGGCAGCAGUGGGGAAUAUUGCACAAUGGGGGAAACCCUGAUGCAGCAACGCCGCGUGAGUGAUGACGGCCUUCGGGUUGUAAAGCUCUGUCUUCAGGGACGAUAAUGACGGUACCUGAGGAGGAAGCCACGGCUAACUACGUGCCAGCCGCCGCAGUAA
Molecule: ribosomal RNA, 477 nt
Filed under: uncultured bacterium
Lineage: Bacteria
Description: partial 16S ribosomal RNA
Rfam family: Bacterial small subunit ribosomal RNA
Source: RNAcentral